GGGAAUGUGGCUCAGUGGUAAAGUGCUUGUCUAGCAUGCAUGAGGCCCUAGGUUCGAUUCCUGGUACCA
This 69-nucleotide transfer RNA is filed under the name Dipodomys ordii (Ord's kangaroo rat). It matches the Rfam family "tRNA". Rfam says of the family: Transfer RNA (tRNA) molecules are approximately 80 nucleotides in length. Their secondary structure includes four short double-helical elements and three loops (D, anti-codon, and T loops). Lineage: Eukaryota; Metazoa; Chordata; Mammalia; Rodentia; Heteromyidae. The record is from Rfam by way of RNAcentral.